Molecule: long non-coding RNA, 1939 nt
Organism: Panicum virgatum (switchgrass)
Lineage: Eukaryota; Viridiplantae; Streptophyta; Magnoliopsida; Poales; Poaceae
Exons: 4
Source: RefSeq, a predicted model, not a curated record
CGUUUCUUCUUUUGAAAAAAAAACGUCGCCCCCCUCAUGUACGCCGCCGCCGCUCAAUCCCUGCCCGCAGUCCCCGCAGCCGCCGCUCCAUCCCCGGCUGCCGCGACGUCCGCUGCGUCGCCCCCGGCGUCACCGAUCCGCGCUGCCUCCUCUGCCCCCGCCACCUCCGCCACUACACCACGAUCUGCUCUGCCCCAAAAUGCUCCGGCCCGAUCUGCUCCGCCCAAACCCAUCCGGUCGCCAACAACUCCAAGAGUGCCGCGAGGUCGUCCUUCCUGCUUCCGCAUCCCUAAGCCCUCUCCCACGAGCGGAUCCCGACGCCCACGCCGCCCACGCUGCGGUCCGGGGACCCGCCGCCGCAGGUGCAGGAGGCCGCCGCUAGGGUGCGAGUGCAGGGGGCUGCUGCCGCCGCCGAUCCAGGGGCCGACCCAACGCCGCAGCAGGACCACGCAGCUACAAGAUCAAAUCUUAAAAAUUGACGCCGACAGCAACGACAUGAAGGUCAAGGGCGCACGGAGGUGGUGACAGCGGGCCACGUGCUCCUUGAGAAGUUCAGGCACACCGUUCACUUCCUGAUGAUCACCAUGUACUCCUACCUCAGUGAUCAUCUUGCUGCACGCAGGGUGUUCGAUGGAAUUCCCCACCGGAAUGUCUUCUAAUGGAACUCUAUGAUGAAGGCAUACGAGCAGGAAAGGAUGAUGGCUGAGGUGGAAGGGAUGUUCCGGCCGGUUGAUGGUUUCAGAGGGUGGCAGUGGCGCACAACGGGGUGGCAGUGGCAGUUGUGCUCACAUUGUGCAGGGAUGCCAGCAAUAUGGUUAUAGCCUUAUAGGGGUGUUCUCUCUUUUCCUCCUCCAAUUGACAGGUAAAGUAGAGCUAUGUUAUUCUUAUUGCCAUGUGUAUGCCUAGCACAUAUUCUUAUUGCCAUAUGUAUGCCUAGCACAUAUUGAUGUACGGAUGAACCAACAAACAAUUAGUUGCAUGUACAACUUUUCUUUUCUUUUGCCUGCUUGAUUGCGGCAUUAAUGCAAAAUUGGUAUCAUACCUAUAUAAUAAUCCAUGUCAGUUCUUUUAAAUCAAUAAACUCUGGAUGUUGGCCCAUGCCUAUUUGUUAUCGUAAAUUAAUCAACUAUGGCUUUGAUGAUGGAAACUCUUGGAAAGAUGCAUUGCAAGGUUACAACAAUCCAGCUAGCUAUCUAAAUUUCUCUCUGCUUUUAUUUUGUUUUCUUCCAAAUCACUAGCUCAGAAAAUCAUUCCAAGUGUUACUUCGAUCGAUAUUGAGAUUUCAAGAGGAUAAAAAAACUGAAGUUUUGGCUCCUGGAUUGUGUACUUAUUGAAAGUGAUACAAACUUUAGUUUCUGCAAUAUGACCGAAUUGGAGAUGUAUGCCAACUCAGAACAUCUUGUCUCUGCUUGUAGGUCAGAUUUGGAUAUUACUUCUGAAUUUGGAUUUUAUCACUUCACUUCUGAAUUUCAAUUUAAAUGGCUGAUCUCAUGUGGUCGGUGGAGAUGGAAAUCAUUUAUACUCCAAACCUAUUGGACACUACGCAUUGGUGAUUGAAGCCUCUAGAAUGGACGGCUCAAUCUGAAUUGACUCUAAAGCUCAAGCAUCAGAAGCAAGUUUGUACGCCUUCAUUCAUGGUGAAGAUUGCUGCUUGAUGUUUGAAAGUUUGCAAUCGCCGGAGCUCAGUACCGGUGCAGCACGCUGGAAACAAAACUGGAAGUAGCAAUAGCCAUGUUAGAAUACGUGUGUGUGUGUGUGUGUGAAUGGGUCUCUCCCUGUUCCCUGUGCAGCCCCCCAGUUCCUUGUGCUAGUUUAAUUCCCGGCCAGACCUCUCCUGGUAGGGUGUUCACACCAUGGACCCUUGGUCCCUUAGGCUUAUAUAUAUGUAAUCUCACUGUAAUCCUUAUUCAUUGAGAAUCAACACUCUUUCAUGGUAUCA